ACGAACGCUGGCGGCGUGCUUAACACAUGCAAGUCGAACGGAAAGGCCCUGCUUUUGUGGGGUGCUCGAGUGGCGAACGGGUGAGUAACACGUGAGUAACCUGCCCUUGACUUUGGGAUAACUUCAGGAAACUGGGGCUAAUACCGGAUAGGAGCUCCUGCUGCAUGGUGGGGGUUGGAAAGUUUCGGCGGUUGGGGAUGGACUCGCGGCUUAUCAGCUUGUUGGUGGGGUAGUGGCUUACCAAGGCUUUGACGGGUAGCCGGCCUGAGAGGGUGACCGGCCACAUUGGGACUGAAAUACGGCCCAGACUCCUGCGGGAGGCAGCAGUGGGGAAUAUUGCACAAUGGGCGGAAGCCUGAUGCAGCAACGCCGCGUGCGGGAUGACGGCCUUCGGGUUGUAAACCGCUUUCGCCUGUGACGAAGCGUGAGUGACGGUAAUGGGUAAAGAAGCACCGGCUAACUACGUG
RNAcentral lists this ribosomal RNA (467 nucleotides) under uncultured bacterium. RNAcentral's name for it is "partial 16S ribosomal RNA". It matches the Rfam family "Bacterial small subunit ribosomal RNA", at positions 29 to 507 of the family's 1533-position model. The record is from RNAcentral.